Molecule: ribosomal RNA, 253 nt
Filed under: uncultured bacterium
Lineage: Bacteria
Description: partial 16S ribosomal RNA
Rfam family: Bacterial small subunit ribosomal RNA
Source: RNAcentral
UACGUAGGGUGCGAGCGUUGUCCGGAAUUACUGGGCGUAAAGAGCUCGUAGGUGGUUUGUCGCGUUGUCCGUGAAAACUCACAGCUCAACUGUGGGCGUGCGGGCGAUACGGGCAGACUAGAGUACUGCAGGGGAGACUGGAAUUCCUGGUGUAGCGGUGGAAUGCGCAGAUAUCAGGAGGAACACCGGUGGCGAAAGCGGCUCCCUGGCCCGAUACUGACGCUCAUGUACGAAAGCGUGGGGAGCAAACAGG